RNAcentral lists this ribosomal RNA (800 nucleotides) under Halobacillus sp. JSM 076022. RNAcentral's name for it is "bacterial SSU rRNA". It matches the Rfam family "Bacterial small subunit ribosomal RNA", at positions 46 to 813 of the family's 1533-position model. Lineage: Bacteria; Bacillati; Bacillota; Bacilli; Caryophanales; Bacillaceae. The record is from RNAcentral.
GCCUAAUACAUGCAAGUCGAGCGCGGGAAGCGAGUGGAUCCCUUCGGGGUGAAGCUCGUGGAACGAGCGGCGGACGGGUGAGUAACACGUGGGCAACCUGCCUGUAAGAUCGGAAUAACCCCGGGAAACCGGGGCUAAUGCCGGGUAAUACUUUUCUUCGCAUGAAGAUAAGUUGAAAGAUGGCUUCUCGCUAUCACUUACAGAUGGGCCCGCGGCGCAUUAGCUAGUUGGUGAGGUAACGGCUCACCAAGGCAACGAUGCGUAGCCGACCUGAGAGGGUGAUCGGCCACACUGGGACUGAGACACGGCCCAGACUCCUACGGGAGGCAGCAGUAGGGAAUCUUCCGCAAUGGACGAAAGUCUGACGGAGCAACGCCGCGUGAACGAUGAAGGUCUUCGGAUCGUAAAGUUCUGUUGUCAGGGAAGAACAAGUACCGUGCGAAUAGAGCGGUACCUUGACGGUACCUGACGAGGAAGCCCCGGCUAACUACGUGCCAGCAGCCGCGGUAAUACGUAGGGGGCAAGCGUUGUCCGGAAUUAUUGGGCGUAAAGCGCGCGCAGGCGGUUCCUUAAGUCUGAUGUGAAAGCCCACGGCUCAACCGUGGAGGGUCAUUGGAAACUGGGGAACUUGAGGACAGAAGAGGAGAGUGGAAUUCCACGUGUAGCGGUGAAAUGCGUAGAUAUGUGGAGGAACACCAGUGGCGAAGGCGACUCUCUGGUCUGUUUCUGACGCUGAGGUGCGAAAGCGUGGGUAGCAAACAGGAUUAGAUACCCUGGUAGUCCACGCCGUAAACGAUGAG